This is a long non-coding RNA of Hordeum vulgare subsp. vulgare (domesticated barley), 2024 nucleotides long. RefSeq lists it as uncharacterized. The transcript is spliced from 2 exons. Lineage: Eukaryota; Viridiplantae; Streptophyta; Magnoliopsida; Poales; Poaceae. The record is from RefSeq and is a predicted model, not a curated record.
UCCAUAUAUUCCCCAAUUCCGUAAAAAUAAUAAGAUCCAUAGUUCAAAGUUUGAGCACAACAUCAAAUUGCAAAUUCUAUCCAGUUGGGAAAUUUGCAAAGGAAGUGCUCUAUUCCUUGAUCUCCUUGAGCUGAAACUUUUCAUGGUGGUUUAUAUUGUUAAGUCACUAGUGAAUACCAAAAAUCAGCUCAAUCCCUUUCUUCAAUGUUGUCCAAGAAAUUUCCCUAAGUUUCUGCCUAUUUGGAAGCUUUGUGAAGGAAGUACCAUGCAGGCAUUCCCAAAUGAGCUGAAUUGUUUUCCAGCAUCUCCAUAUAUUCAAGUAAACCCUCUUCCCCAAAUUUGAUCCAAAUCCAUUUAGCCAUUUGAGCCCAACUUCAAAUUCUAGUUUCUGGACCAAUUUUUGGUUUGUGAAGGAACUGUAAGCAAACAGGGUCUAAAUGACUUCAAAUUAUGUAAGCUUAUACUCCUUCCUAUCAUAUUCCAUUGUGACAGAGAUUCAGCUCCUUUCCUUCAUCCAUCUCUCCAGAAACAACUACAAACAGCUGCUGCCAGAAACUAUUUUGGUAGUUUUCUUCUUCCCAGAGCCUUCCUGUGGACUCCAUUCUCAUGUCUCAUCCUAUUUAGCAGUGAAUGAGAUGUUGGACAUGAUGGGACACGCAGGAAAGCCCCAGAGCAUGUAGGACCCGUGGUGACCACGCUUGGGACAGGCCAAAAUGGUGAACUGUGCUUUGUUGCCAUCGACACGACAGUUCCGGCCAGCCUCGGUGUGUCCUGGCGUGUCAAACAGCUUCGGGGAGUCCACGUAACCCCUCUCAUCAGCUUCCCCCUCCUAUUUUCCCCUCCCCCCGCCAUGAUAGUGGCCGCCGAGGUGCUGUCCCGUCAGGAAGUGUCGUCUUCCUCCCUCUCUUGGCCUCUUCUUCCUCGAGCUGUCUCGUCCUGCUGUUGGGUGAUGGUACGGCACCACCGAACGCUCGCCACCUUACCGGAGCACCAGUGAGUGGCUAAGAACGCCACGGUGGCCGAUCCUAUCUGCUCAUCAUCGGCCAGCUAUAUAUAGCCAUGACUGAGCCUUACCCCGAGCAUCUCAGCCCCCCAUUCUCCUCUCCCCACUCCACUGAUCGUCCCCGUCCCCUCCCCGGAGCUUUGGCUCCUCUCCUUGCCUCCAAUCGCCGCCAUGGCCGCCGCCCCUCCAUUGCUAAAUUCGCGUGGUGCAGGCCCCUUCUCUUCCUUCUGACCUCGCCCUUGUCCUCCCCUCUGCGGCGUGGACCUCUCCAACCCCUCUCCUAGCCCUCUGACAGCCGGUAGUCGCCGCACCAUUCGGCGCCCGAGCCCCGCCCGCCAUGGCUAGGGGCAACCUCGCCCGGGUUCUCCCCAGGCUCCGCCACCUACGGGGAUGGAUGCAGCUUGGUCCCCUGAGCUUGUUGGUGGCCAGAGAGCGACGAAUGAUGGCCGGAGCAACCGGCAGCCGUCGCCGGCGUCGAGCCCCUCCCUGUCCCCUGUCCUGUCGGGAGGAAGAAGAUGAGCGAGGGGAGGGAGGAGAGAGAGAGAGAGAGGAAGGAGAUGCCAUUGGCCCCAUUCGUCAGCCUGUGAGGCGUUGAUCAGCCCCGGGCCCCCGCGCUUAAGUGAAAAUGUAUUCUCCGGAAUGCGCUUUCUCUUUUGAAAAGCGUACUCGGCCCGGAGGCGCGUUCUGUUUCCAGUCAGGGACCUGUUUGUAGGAAUUUAUUUUUAUGGAUAGGUCCCUAAACUUCAUCGGGUCUUAUCUUUUUGCUCGGGACUCCGAUUGAGCCCCCUUCAAGAGAGAGCGAUGUCUGGCGAUCCUUUCCGCGGACUCUCAGCACCUCUUCCGGGAGUAUUCUUCAACCCCAGGCAAGCCGACCAUGUGAUAUAUGCCCUAAAGCUUUGCUCUGCGAUGUUCUUGCAUAUUAUUUCAAUAUGCUUAUGUGUGAGUGUAUAGUAAUGUUCUGUAUGAGAUGCUGACGAACCCUUGCUCGCAUUUUCUUCAAUAAUGGAACCACGCUUGAUUC